GCCAAGGCUGUGAAGUCUGGUACAGUGAAGAAGAAGACCAAGAAGAUCCGCACGUCUGUGACAUUUCACCGCCCCAAGACCCUGAAGAAGGCUAGGGACCCGAAGUACCCAAGAGUCAGCGCUCCUGGAAGGAACAAGCUUGAUCAGUACCAAAUCCUGAAGUACCCUCUCACCACUGAAUCAGCAAUGAAGAAGAUUGAAGAUAACAACACUCUGGUCUUCAUCGUGGACCUCAAGGCGGACAAGAAGAAGAUCAAGGCUGCUGUCAAGAAGAUGUAUGACAUUCAGGCAAAGAAGGUCAACACCCUGAUCAGGUUAGCGCAUUUGCUCCAGUGUUAAUUGUUCACUUGUUUUGUAUUGUCUAUGUUGUGUUGCUAAUCGAUCAAACCUGUGUUGGUGUAGGCCUGAUGGGAAGAAGAAGGCUUACGUGAAGCUGACACCGGACUACGAUGCUCUUGAUGUGGCCAACAAAAUCGGCAUCAUCUAAGUUACUUGCUACUGUAUUAGGCAUCUGUGUCCUAGUUCU
RNAcentral lists this long non-coding RNA (526 nucleotides) under Setaria viridis. Its description in RNAcentral is "long non-coding RNA (SVIR_LNC008367)". The record is from RNAcentral. Lineage: Eukaryota; Viridiplantae; Streptophyta; Magnoliopsida; Poales; Poaceae.